GUGCUCUGGGUCCCCUGGCUCAGCUGCAGCGAGACUUGAAGGUGUUGGGUACUUAUGAGUCUCCAAGCUGCAUCCGGUCUUGGGAUGUCGAUCCUGGCGUCUGCAACCUUGAUGAACAGCUCAAGGUCUUUGUGUCCCGACACUCUGCCACCUUCUCCAGCAUUGUGAAAGGCCAGCGGAGCCUGCACCACCGUGGAGACAACCUGGAGACCCUGGUCCUCCUGAACCCAUCAGACAAGUCCCUGUGUGAUGAGCUCCGGAACCUUCUGUUGGACCCUGCCUCUCACAAGCUACUGGUGUUGGCUGGGCCCUGCCUGGAGGAGACGGGGGAGCUGCUGCUACAGACAGGGGGCUUCUCGCCUCACCACUUCCUCCAGGUCCUGAAGGACAGAGAGAUCCGGGACAUCCUGGCCACCACGCCCCCACCUGUGCAGCCGCCCAUACUCACCAUCACCUGCCCCACCUUCGGUGACUGGGCUCAGCUGGCACCCGCUGUGCCCGGCCUUCAGGGGGCGCUCCGGCUCCAGCUGCGGCUGAACCCC
RNAcentral lists this small RNA (542 nucleotides) under Pan troglodytes (chimpanzee). Its description in RNAcentral is "processed transcript". Lineage: Eukaryota; Metazoa; Chordata; Mammalia; Primates; Hominidae. The record is from RNAcentral.